This 247-nucleotide unclassified non-coding RNA is filed under the name uncultured Pleosporales. Its description in RNAcentral is "sequence contains 5.8S rRNA gene, ITS2, 28S rRNA gene". The record is from RNAcentral. Lineage: Eukaryota; Fungi; Ascomycota; Dothideomycetes; Pleosporales.
AACGCACAUUGCGCCCUUCGGUAUUCCGUUGGGCAUGCCUGUUCGAGCGUCAUUUAAACCUUCAAGCUCUGCUUGGUGUUGGGCGUUUGUUCCGCCUCCGCGCGUGGACUCGCCUCAAAUUCAUUGGCAGCCGGUCAGUUGGCUUUCGUGCGCAGCACAUUGCGUAGCGGCUCCAGCUUGCCUCCUACCAUUAAGCUACUCUACAUCUUUUGACCUCGGAUCAGGUAGGGAUACCCGCUGAACUUAA